Perca flavescens (yellow perch) is the source of this 394-nucleotide long non-coding RNA. RefSeq lists it as uncharacterized. Lineage: Eukaryota; Metazoa; Chordata; Actinopteri; Perciformes; Percidae. The transcript is spliced from 2 exons. The record is from RefSeq and is a predicted model, not a curated record.
UUCAGUCAAGACUUCUCGAUUAGUGCUGACCGAUAAAUCGUAUUUUCAUCGUCAUCGCAAUAUGAACAUGCACGGCAAACACAGCAAAAGAUUGCCUGAAACGCAGGGAAACUUUAUUUAUGGAGGAGUACCAAAACCCUGUAUUAAACGUGCCCAGGGGCUAAAAACUAUAGUAUUUUUCAUCACUCUGCAGCCUCUCCUCUGCGUCUGGUCCGAACUCUUCCACACAUAGGCUACACACACAAACACACACAGAGCAAAGUCAGCAGGCAGCAGGUCAGAGAGGCUGCAGAGGAGACCGGGAAGUAAAGUGAAGAUAGCUCAAGCUGAAGACAACUACAGUUGUUACUGUGGAGCCUGCUGCUCAGACGGAGAGAGUCUCAAGCGCUCCCGU